AGACCGCAGCAAAUAGGGUUCUCAAUAUUAAGACCCUUAAGCUUCUGUAUACUCUCUCGCCUUCCCUUAAGCAAAUAGGGUUCACAAACGAACAACAGUCAUUUUAUCUCUCUUCUUUCUUCCUCCUCUCACAGCCUCAAGCUCUUCUCGCGCCUCAAGGCAUCUGGAGAACAAUAAUCUAAAUGGAACAGUUCCUAAAAACCUUUUUCAAAAACCCGGGCUGCACUUUACGUUUACACCCGGCAAUCGCCUUUCACUUUCGUCUGGACAAAAAACAUGAUCCAUGGCCGUCCUCCAUCAACGACUAUAGGGUGUACGUAUUUGUGUAAUCAGUGAUUUGAUUAAUAUUUUUUGAUAACUUCAAAUACAGCUGGAAGCUGCAUGGAUACCCUUGUGUUCUAGUUUCAGAGCUAGUUGUCUGAAUUAGAGUAAAGGCUUCUGUGUUUGAAGUACUUGGUAUAAUUAAACAAGCUCCUCUAUGCAGCCGAGGGUCAGGCUGUCAUUUUGUUGUACAAAUUUUUUUCUGAUAUAGGGGUGUUUCUGAGUUCUGACUUUGUUUAGCUGUAUAUGGUCCCCUUUACCUUAAUGUAUAUGUCCUUUCUUUCUUUGUAAUCAUUUUAUCUUGGAUACUCGUUGACUGCUAUACAUGAUUUUCUAAAA
Molecule: long non-coding RNA, 660 nt
Organism: Amaranthus tricolor (Joseph's coat)
Lineage: Eukaryota; Viridiplantae; Streptophyta; Magnoliopsida; Caryophyllales; Amaranthaceae
Exons: 3
Source: RefSeq, a predicted model, not a curated record